RNAcentral lists this ribosomal RNA (396 nucleotides) under uncultured bacterium. RNAcentral's name for it is "partial 16S ribosomal RNA". It matches the Rfam family "Bacterial small subunit ribosomal RNA", at positions 523 to 918 of the family's 1533-position model. The record is from RNAcentral.
AUACGUAGGGGGCGAGUGUUGUCCGGAAUGAUUGGGCGUAAAGGGCGCGUAGGCGGCGCGGUAAGUCUGGAGUGAAAGUCCUGUUUUUAAGAUGGGAAUUGCUUUGGAUACUGUCGGGCUUGAGUGCAGGAGAGGUAAGUGGAAUUCCCAGUGUAGCGGUGAAAUGCGUAGAGAUUGGGAGGAACACCAGUGGCGAAGGCGACUUACUGGACUGUAACGGACGCUGAGGCGCAAAAGUGUGGGGAGCAAACAGGAUUAGAUACCCGGGUAGUCCACGUCCUAAACGAUGAAUACUAGGUGUGGGGGGACUGACCCCCUCCGUGCCGGAGUCAACACAAUAAGCAUUCCGCCUGGGGAGUACGGCCGCAAGGUUGAAACUCAAAUGAAUUGACGGGG